CCCUCUUCCUCUUUCUUCUUUUUCUUCUUCUGCUUCUGUUCGUCGCUCCGGCAAUUUUGUGAGUUGUUUCUGAGGUUGAAUUCGAAAAGAAACUUAGGGGAAACAUUAGGAAUUGACGCUUAGUGGUGAUGUUGAUGUUAAUAGAGCUCGGGAGAAGAAAGAGUGGACGUUGUUGUAAGAUGAGAAUUAGGGUUUAUAGGAUUGAUUGACGUUCUGAAGAUUUAGAGGAUGAAUUAUGGAGGUGUUGUUGAUGAAGAGUCAUGGGUAGAUGUUUAAUUGAAGUAUUGAAAUUGAUUCUGUGACGAAUCAUUGAGGAUAUUAGAACUAGGGUUUUGAGAGAUGAAGUCGAGUGAGGAUUUAUGUGGUUCUGAGGAUGAUGUUAAGUAAUUGGUGAGUAUUUUGAGUUAAGAGCAAGUAAGAAGAAUUAACAACUGAUUUUCAUUUCACAGUGAAUAAUCAAAGAAUUAGGGUUGUAAGAUGAACUCAGAGAAGAUGUGGAUUAAUCUUUAGAAGUUAAAUUAGAAGAUGGGUUUUCUUGGGUUGAGGAUUUGAAUUGAUGUUGUGAACUAGAAUUAGAGAAAGAAAGGAAUUGGGAAUUGGUUUUAGGGUUUCAGAGAAUCAACGUUGGUGAUGAGGAUUAUUAGGUUGAUGAUUAGUCUUGAUACAAGAUGCUGAAUCGAAUUAAAUUGUUUGAGUACGUCUAAUAUGAGGUGAGAAUUAUAUGUUCGAGAUAUAGAAGUUGAUGUCCUGUGUUGGAAUGGAUGUGUGGUUUAAACUAUGAAAUGAUUGUGAAGCUAAGAACUGAAUGGUCAUGAUGAGUGUGUUGAUGAACUGUUACAGGUGUGCAGAUUGUUGGUACUAGUGGUUAUCUUAAUACUAGAUAAACAUGCAUUGUAGCUGUAUUUGCUUGUGAAGAAGAACAUGUUGAUGUUGAUGGUGUUAUUGUGUAUGUAAAUGUGUUUUGAAUUAAAUUUGUGGAUGAGAUGUAUGGAGAGUAAGUUAUGAACAACCUGAAGUGAUAACAAUGUUUUUGUUGGAAUUCAAGUUGAUUGUACCAAGUUUUCAGAGUUGGUAUUGCUCAAGAAGAAGUGACUAGGGAUUACGGUUGAACGAGUAUGAAUCGAAAAAAGUAACGAAGCUGCAGAUGCAAGUGUUGGAAUUGUUUGGCGGUGAACUGAGUUAGAAUUACAGAUGGUUGUUAGAUGUAGCUGUAGAGUUUGGUGUUGGCAGUGAUGUUUGAUAGAAUUAAUAGUUUUGGAACUGAGUUCAGUUGAAGUAGUUCAUAACUUAGCUGCAACUGUUGCUUUGUGGUUGUAGAAAGAGUAUGGCUUAGUACUGCAAUUGCAGUUAGUUUAUAUUAACAACGAUCGAUUCAAAGGAUGAACCAGUGGAUCGUGUAUCUCAAGGUAGGCGUGGCUUGUCAUCAAAAGAGUUUCAGAUACAGAUCAGAGUUGCGCAGCGGAAGCUUCAAGGUUCGAGUUCGUUAGUUGUUUAACUUCUGUUAUGUUUAUUAUGUUGCGUAUUUUAUUUGUAAACCAAACGACUAUUGUAUAUGCAUCAUUUGAGAGAAGAUCUUGUAUAUAUAUAUAAUUAUGAGCGGGUCUAGUUUUGGGUUAAGUUUUUAUAGCAUAUUUCUUAAUUGAAUGCUUAAGUUUUUGAUUUA
Molecule: long non-coding RNA, 1663 nt
Organism: Papaver somniferum (opium poppy)
Lineage: Eukaryota; Viridiplantae; Streptophyta; Magnoliopsida; Ranunculales; Papaveraceae
Exons: 3
Source: RefSeq, a predicted model, not a curated record